Molecule: non-coding RNA, 376 nt
Organism: Paramormyrops kingsleyae
Lineage: Eukaryota; Metazoa; Chordata; Actinopteri; Osteoglossiformes; Mormyridae
Source: RefSeq, a predicted model, not a curated record
GUGAAAAGCGGUGGUAUGUGUUGCAGUCUCAAGCCAGGAGGGAGAUUGCAGCACACAAACAGGAUUCUUCAAGCACAGGUGGAGGACCACCUGCUAAACAACUGUCACAGGUAGCGGAAACUGUAUUUAAUGUACUUGGACACUCAGAAAUAUCUGUCACUUGGCUGAAGGAAGGCACAGACAGCUCAAUGAUCCAGCUAAUGGGAAUACAACAAAGCAUGGAACCGUCAGAGGAACCGCGACCGUCAACAUCGCAGGUGUGCGACCCUCAGCGAGUGUAUCAGAUAAGCCAGCCUGCUGCAGCCACCUCAACACCAUCCCUGCUGGACAGAAAAUUGGAGAUCAAAAUUGAUACUCUCACACAGCACAAAAAAGU